UGCACGAAACCAGGUUUCAGGUUCAGCACUC
Molecule: non-coding RNA, 31 nt
Filed under: Mus musculus (house mouse)
Lineage: Eukaryota; Metazoa; Chordata; Mammalia; Rodentia; Muridae
Source: RNAcentral